Molecule: ribosomal RNA, 253 nt
Filed under: uncultured bacterium
Lineage: Bacteria
Description: partial 16S ribosomal RNA
Rfam family: Bacterial small subunit ribosomal RNA
Source: RNAcentral
UACAGAGGUCUCAAGCGUUGUUCGGAUUCAUUGGGCGUAAAGGGUGCGUAGGCGGCGCGGUAAGUCGGGUGUGAAAGCUCGGAGCUCAACUCCGAAAUGGCAUUGGAAACUACCUUGCUCGAGGAUUGGAGGGGGGACUGGAAUACUUGGUGUAGCAGUGAAAUGCGUAGAUAUCAAGUGGAACACCAGUGGCGAAGGCGAGUCCCUGGACAAUUCCUGACACUGAGGCACGAAAGCUAGGGGAGCAAACAGG